CCUACGGGGUGCAGCAGUCGAGAGGCUUCGGUAAUGGGGGCAACCCUGACCGAGCGACGCCGCGUGGAGGAUGAAGGCCCUUGGGUCGUAAACUCCUUUCGUGGGGAAAGAAUGUGUUCGAGGUGAACAAUCUCGAGCAUUGACGGUACCCCAAGAAGAAGCUCCGGCUAACUCCGUGCCAGCAGCCGCGGUAAUACGGGGGGAGCAAGCGUUGUUCGGAAUCACUGGGCGUAAAGGGAGUCUAGGCGGUUUGGUAAGUGGGAUGUGAAAUGCCCCGGCUCACCCGGGGACCUGCAUCCCAAACUGCUGAGCUUGAGUACAGGAGAGGGUGGGGGAAUUCCAGGUGUAGCGGUGAAAUGCGUAGAUAUCUGGAGGAACACCGGUGGCGUAGGCGCCCACCUGGCCUGCUACUGACGCUGAAGCUCGAAAGCUAGGGGAGCAAACGGGAUUAGAUACCCCAGUAGUC
RNAcentral lists this ribosomal RNA (466 nucleotides) under uncultured bacterium. RNAcentral describes it as "bacterial SSU rRNA". It matches the Rfam family "Bacterial small subunit ribosomal RNA", at positions 338 to 795 of the family's 1533-position model. The record is from RNAcentral.